GUAAAAAUACUGGAAAAGACCAUUAUAGAAAAGCAAUUAAUAUAACUGAACUAGAGAGCAAAAUCCUGAUAUCAAACAGUUCAUUUUCCAGUUAGUAUAACCCUGUGUAGCCAUUUAGCUAUUACUGUACUGUAUAUUAGUCACAGAAAAUAUUCAGGAAAGAAACAGAUGAGCAGGUCAUAUUUAGAUAAAAAAAAAAAAAAAAGUUGAUUAAGGCCCCCAUUAAAUACUAAUAUGGAAACUUCAAAA
Cherax quadricarinatus is the source of this 249-nucleotide non-coding RNA. Lineage: Eukaryota; Metazoa; Arthropoda; Malacostraca; Decapoda; Parastacidae. The record is from RefSeq and is a predicted model, not a curated record.